Molecule: ribosomal RNA, 493 nt
Filed under: uncultured bacterium
Lineage: Bacteria
Description: partial 16S ribosomal RNA
Rfam family: Bacterial small subunit ribosomal RNA
Source: RNAcentral
ACGAACGCUGGCGGCGUGCUUAACACAUGCAAGUCGAACGGUGAAGCGCCUUCCUUUUUGGUGGGUGUGGAUGAGUGGCGAACGGGUGAGUAACACGUGAGUAACCUGCCCCCUUCUUCUGGAUAACCGCAUGAAAGUGUGGCUAAUACGGGAUAUUCUGGGUCUGUCGCAUGAUGGGUCUGGGAAAGAUAUUGUUUCGGUGGGGGAUGGGCUCGCGGCCUAUCAGCUUGUUGGUGGGGUGAUGGCCUACCAAGGCGGUGACGGGUAGCCGGCCUGAGAGGGUGGACGGUCUCACUGGGACUGAGACACGGCCCAGACUCCUACGGGAGGCAGCAGUGGGGAAUAUUGCACAAUGGGCGCAAGCCUGAUGCAGCGACGCCGCGUGAGGGAUGGAGGCCUUCGGGUUGUGAACCUCUUUCGCCAGUGAAGCAGGCCUGCCUCGUUUGUGGGUGGGUUGACGGUAGCUGGAUAAGAAGCGCCGGCUAACUACGUG